UCCCUGGUGGUCUAGUGGUGAGGAAUUGGCACUUUUACUGCUGUAGCCUGGGUUCAAUCCCUGGUCUGGGAA
RNAcentral lists this transfer RNA (72 nucleotides) under Sus scrofa (pig). It matches the Rfam family "tRNA". Rfam says of the family: Transfer RNA (tRNA) molecules are approximately 80 nucleotides in length. Their secondary structure includes four short double-helical elements and three loops (D, anti-codon, and T loops). Lineage: Eukaryota; Metazoa; Chordata; Mammalia; Artiodactyla; Suidae. The record is from Rfam by way of RNAcentral.